Molecule: ribosomal RNA, 491 nt
Filed under: uncultured bacterium
Lineage: Bacteria
Description: partial 16S ribosomal RNA
Rfam family: Bacterial small subunit ribosomal RNA
Source: RNAcentral
GAUGAACGCUCGCGAUAGGCUUAACACAUGCAAGUCGAGGGGUAACGUGUUGGAAGCUUGCUUCCGACGACGACGACCGGCGGAUGGGUGCGUAACGCGUAUGCAACUUGCCUCACAGUGGAGAAUAACCCGGAGAAAUCCGGACUAAUACUCCAUACACUCUUAAGUACGCCUGUACAUGAGAGGAAAGAUUUAUCGCUGUGAGAUAGGCAUGCGUCCUAUUAGGUAGUUGGUGAGGUAACGGCUCACCAAGCCGACGAUAGGUAGGGGUGCUGAGAGGCAGAUCCCCCACAUUGGGACUGAGACACGGCCCAAACUCCUACGGGAGGCAGCAGUGAGGAAUAUUGGUCAAUGGAGGAAACUCUGAACCAGCCAAGUCGCGUGAAGGAAGAAUGUCCUAAGGAUUGUAAACUUCUUUAGCGAGCGAGUAAGGACUUCCACGUGAUGGGAGUUUGAAAGUAGCUCGAGAAUAAGUAUCGGCUAACUCCGUG